GACAGAGGUGCCGAGCGUUAGGCGGAAUCACUGGGCUUAAAGCGUGUGUAGGCGGACCGUUAAGUACCUUGUGAAAUCCCACGGCUCACCCGUGGAACGGCUGGGUAUACUGGCGGUCUUGGGCCACCUAGGGGCAGAUGGAACAGACGGUGGAGCGGUGAAAUGCGUAGAUAUCAGGAAGAACACCGAUGGCGAAGGCAGUGGGCUGGGCCGGUACUGACGCUGAGGAGCGAAAGCGUGGGGAGCGAACAGG
RNAcentral lists this ribosomal RNA (253 nucleotides) under uncultured bacterium. Its description in RNAcentral is "partial 16S ribosomal RNA". It matches the Rfam family "Bacterial small subunit ribosomal RNA", at positions 524 to 776 of the family's 1533-position model. The record is from RNAcentral.